RNAcentral lists this long non-coding RNA (27995 nucleotides) under Hordeum vulgare. RNAcentral describes it as "long non-coding RNA (HVUL_LNC005260)". The record is from RNAcentral. Lineage: Eukaryota; Viridiplantae; Streptophyta; Magnoliopsida; Poales; Poaceae.
GACGGAUGAAAGAAACAAGGAAGCAAGCAACCACUGAUAAACACUUCAUUCACUCUUGCUCCAUUUGCGAAGAAGGAGCGUUUUUACUUUAGGCCCCAAAGCAUCCCAUGACUUUCUUGGGAGAGUUGCCGGUGGCGCGGUACUUGGCGGCCAUCUCCUCGGCCUUGAGGAGUUCCUCCCCUUUCUUUGCCUCGACCAUCGCUCUCUUCUCUUCGGCUUCCUUGUGGAUCAUUGCGGCCUUAUUCUUCAUCUUCUCGGCGUAUUCAGCCUUCUUCUUUUCCAAUUGCUCCUGAAAGUGUACAGUCACAAGAUUUAGUUUGCAGGAUGGCAUAUGAAGAGAGUGCCAUGUUCAGAACUGCAGAUGGAUAUCGACGGCAAGAACAGGCCUUACUCUUUGAUGUAAUAUACGGCCUUACUCUUUGAUGUAAUAUACAAAGAAUGGUAACGAUGAAAGUACCUCGAUCUUCUUCAGUUGAGCUUCUAUGUUUGCUUUUUUGGUGUUCUCCCAUGAGAGAAUAGCAGAUACCUUUUUAGUAGCCCUGUGAUAUUGAUGUGAAUCAAGAUCAGGAAAAUUUACAUCAUCUAUUUAAUGAACGUGUUCAAGAACGUAAUUUAGCUAUAAGUAUACAACUUCUUCAUUUUCUUCAAAAUGACAUAGCUUCUUUCAUGAUAUCUGUUGGUAGUUGUGCUGUAGGUGUUCUUAUCAUUGUUUGAAUUAGACGGGGUUGACAUAUGCUCCAUAUCUUGGGAGUAAGACUAGACAUAUUACUAACAUGAAGCUUUAUAUGGGCUCUGUUUCCUAGUUGAAACCAUUAAAGUGGCUGAAGCGCACCUUUGAGAUAUGUAACAUGCAUAUCCAAUCUAACAGAGUAGUGAUAAAUCUACCAUACCAUUGAAAAAGCAUGAAUGGAUAAAUAUAAAUAGUAACAUACUUGUUCUCAGCCUUUGUCUUCUCAUUUUCCUCCCAUGCUUUAAUUAAAGAGUUCCUCUUCUCGCUUUCCACCCUUGCAAGAGCGAGGUCUGCAUAGCAGGUUUUCAGGUAGUUUGUCAGCAUAGGUGUACUCUAUUAUAAGAAGAGAAUUCAAAUUAUUCAAUAAUUACCUCUGUCGUUUGAGCCGCCGUGUGCAGCUUUCUCAUCUGUGAGUUUCUCAGCAACAGGUUCAUCUGCAACCUCUGGUACGCAGAAAAAUGUAGAAGUAUCUUAUGAGCAAGAGUUGUAACGUCACAAUUUGAUAUGAGAGUAAUUAAGCAGCAAGAAGCUAGCAUCUGUCUGUACAAUGUCAAAUGAUUUUUAGUACCCACUCGUGUCGCGAGCAUUAUAUAAUCCGUGGAAUUGAAGUUAACUUCUAGCGUGUCCUUUGGUACUAAGAUCUUAUAUAAUGGUGACUUGUGUAGGACUUAUCUUAUUCUCUGAACUUCUCCAACCACAGACGCAAACGGAGUAAGAUAGAAAGCUACUUACAGUCCUUCUGGAUAAAGGAAUGGCUAAACAACGACAUCAUACACCGAACUUUCAGAACCCAAUGCACAGUUUUAUUAAUAUCCUUGACUCACACUCCAGCAUGGUCAUAAUUCUGAGGACUACUAGGUGCCCAUUUUUAUGAUUAAAAGCUUGUUGCUAAUUGGCCCUGCAGUUUCUUCCAACGUUGCUAUUUAUUCGCAUAGUGUUUGGUUUUCUCGUGGGAAGGGGAGCACGCUGUCAUUGAGUGCCAAACCAGAGGAGAAGUAUCAUAGACAGGAUUUCGUUCCGAUACCACAUACUUACUUCAUGUUUAUAUCCACUUCAAAACAGUAAUACGGUCAUACGGUCACCAGGAAAACUGAACAAUCUUUCCAACUAUGCAAGACUCUGAACUACUGAACAUUUAUAGCAUAGUAGUAUAUCUAUCAUCCAUGAUGACUUAGAGCAGCAACAGAAAGCAACUGCCUGCCUGUCCAAAACUACAAUAUGCCAUUCUUAAAUACAAUAGCUUUAUUCCUUUCAAAAGAAGAUAUGACAGUUAGUGAGUGCGCGUGUACUGGUUUUAUCUGUUAAUGAGUGCGCGUGUACUGGUUUUAUCUGUUCUAUAAACCCAAACACUAACUACUACUACAACACUAUCUGCAUGGUUGAAGAAAUAUGCAAAUGCAAUGAACAUGCAGACACAAGUCACAUAGCUCGGGAAAGGUUGUUCUUCAUGUGGCUUUUGCUUCCGUUUGGUUCCUUUUCCCCCAGCAUAGUACCAUCUUGGACACUUUCUAGGGUGUUAAAGUGAAACUGAGAUUCCUCCAAAAAAGGAAACUGGGAUGGAUAAGACAGAGAGGGAGCGAAGAACGGAGAGCAGGGGCAGAAAGAAGACAAAUGGAUAAGGAUGAGUGAGGAAUUCAGUGAAGUUCUAACGACUAUCUUUUCUAAAUUCCAACCCAGAACAAUUGUGCAACCUAUUUUCAGUGAGGCUACACACGGCCAGCAUCACCUUAGCUAUAUCUAUGUUGUCCUAAGAUGCUCUCUGUUUUUGUUUCGUCCAAAACUCUGCAACACUUCCGGUUCACUAGAAACAAACUAAUUUGCAACCAUGGUUGCAUCCGCUGUUUUUUUGUUCAUAACAAAAUCAUUUAGUACUACCUCCAUCUUAAAAUAAGUGUACAAAUUUGUACCAGAGCUAGUAUAAAGUUGCGACGGGCAGAGGGAGUAGAAAGCAGGGAAAAUAUUCAGACAAACAUUUGAGAUAUUUAUCAGAGCUGUUUGCGGCACCAACCAAGUGCUAAUAUAUUUCGCAAGCAGACAAUUCAGGAAAAAGAACACAUAAGCGGAAGUGUCUCAAUUCUCAAAGCAGCCAAAGCACAAACCAAAUAACAAUUGCAACUAACGCUGGCUAGUAAUCCCUAUGAACACGUAACUGAAAUUACCGAAUUAAUCGUACUCUAGGUGUAACAACGAGAGCCAAGAAAAAUAAGGAGAGGAAGGGAAAGAGAAAAAGGUCUCCAAAUAAUAUCGCAGGAUCAUCGGUACCUCAACCAAGUACUACCACCACUGUUCAUCUCCUGUUAACACCGAGGAAAAGUUGCUCGCUCCUACUACUCGUACUACCAGAUCCUAGCGCGCCCACCCCCUUCCCAUCGUUCAAGUUCAACCACAGGCCGGCCUUGCCGAAGCAAGAGCAAAUUAACUGAAGCAGCAGCAGCAGCAAAACAGCGCAGAGCAAGCGGCAGGGUGACUUACUCUCGACGACGACGAGGGCCUUGGAGUCGUCGACGGGCGGCUUCUCCUCGUCGGCGGCGGGNNNNNNNNNNNNNNNNNNNNNNNNNNNNNNNNNNNNNNNNNNNNNNNNNNNNNNNNNNNNNNNNNNNNNNNNNNNNNNNNNNNNNNNNNNNNNNNNNNNNNNNNNNNNNNNNNNNNNNNNNNNNNNNNNNNNNNNNNNNNNNNNNNNNNNNNNNNNNNNNNNNNNNNNNNNNNNNNNNNNNNNNNNNNNNNNNNNNNNNNNNNNNNNNNNNNNNNNNNNNNNNNNNNNNNNNNNNNNNNNNNNNNNNNNNNNNNNNNNNNNNNNNNNNNNNNNNNNNNNNNNNNNNNNNNNNNNNNNNNNNNNNNNNNNNNNNNNNNNNNNNNNNNNNNNNNNNNNNNNNNNNNNNNNNNNNNNNNNNNNNNNNNNNNNNNNNNNNNNNNNNNNNNNNNNNNNNNNNNNNNNNNNNNNNNNNNNNNNNNNNNNNNNNNNNNNNNNNNNNNNNNNNNNNNNNNNNNNNNNNNNNNNNNNNNNNNNNNNNNNNNNNNNNNNNNNNNNNNNNNNNNNNNNNNNNNNNNNNNNNNNNNNNNNNNNNNNNNNNNNNNNNNNNNNNNNNNNNNNNNNNNNNNNNNNNNNNNNNNNNNNNNNNNNNNNNNNNNNNNNNNNNNNNNNNNNNNNNNNNNNNNNNNNNNNNNNNNNNNNNNNNNNNNNNNNNNNNNNNNNNNNNNNNNNNNNNNNNNNNNNNNNNNNNNNNNNNNNNNNNNNNNNNNNNNNNNNNNNNNNNNNNNNNNNNNNNNNNNNNNNNNNNNNNNNNNNNNNNNNNNNNNNNNNNNNNNNNNNNNNNNNNNNNNNNNNNNNNNNNNNNNNNNNNNNNNNNNNNNNCGCUGCGCCUGUGGCCUCCACGUAGACGCUGCGCGUGGCGGCGCACGUGAUAACACCGGGCGGCGUCAAGGCGGACGGUGACAUGGGUGAGGAGUGCGAGGGCGGGGGAGGAUCAAUAAAAACUUACAAAAGUUUACUUAACCUUUUAAACUAACUCUUCUCUCCUUCCAUGAUUUUCAGUAAGGGUGGGGCCCCUCAUCCCUCAAUAACCAUCACAAUCUUACACAUCAGUUUGUACGUAAAAUCUUUAAGUAAGCCUUUGUAGGUGUAGCAUUACUCAGCGGGGAGGAUACGGGUGCCGGUUUCUUUCUUCCGUUCCCAACUUUUUCCUAAACAAUUCUUGAAUAAACAGAUACGUAUUUUCGGCGAUGGAAUUAAAGGCGCGCGCUGGCUCGCCGACUAGACAAUUGGGCUGGUGUUGGGCGAUCCGCGGAGCUUGAUUUUCCCCAGCUGUCAUCGCCUUGACGCGCCCGUCCCGCUGCCGGCUGGGCGUGUGACGGCAAGGACCGACCAGACCUGACCGUUAUACGCCCGUUUCCCGCGGAACUUGGGCGCGCGCGGGUGCAUGUGGCCGUAUCCGUAUGCAGCCGGCGGUCGACAGGUGUACUCGUACUACAUGACCAGUUCUUGGGCGGUGGCCGACGUAUCGGGGUAAUCCGUGGUUUGGUCCUCGCGCUAGCUCUGGACUUGGAUCUCACUGGAUCCUCGUAUUCUGUAUUCUGAAUCCGGGCACCAGUCAGUGGGAGUACAUUUGUCGGUGUAUAUGCAUGUGUGGGCCACACCAUACGUGCAUGAUGCGGUACAAUAUACGUCGAGCAUGUAGGAUGUAGCCAAGCUUCGACACUCAUUUCCCAAGCAGAUUUUGUUCGUUGCUAGUAUGUCCCAAGUUCUAGCUGGCGCUUAUAUCUUGCCGCCCAAAAACCUCCGUCGUCCUACAAAAGAAAACCACAAGAAUUCCAAGUUGACAAACCGUUUGCACAAAGCCAUGAAGCUGGAUGCUGCAGCAACCUAACUAAGCCAAAGCAUCUUAACAGCUGACCAGCUAAUUGUUGAAUAUAAGGAAGCUAGCUAGCUUGCGCAACUGUCCAAAGCAUAGCAUUGGACAAUCGUUCAGCAUCCAAAUGGACAUGAACAGAAGAUGCUUUGCUGGCGAGGACAGGUAGCCACAGCUACCAUGCCACACUCAAAUUAUUGGCAACGGCCAGGUGCUAAGCAGGGUUAUACGCGUUACAAACAAUUGGAUCUUGCUUGGACGCUCCUCGUUACGUCGUCGCUACGUACGCACGGAAUUUGGAGUACAACACACAUCAGAUCCUACUUUUUAGCUACCGAGACAUCCUGCUGUAUCAUUUGCACAUCGUUCAAUCUCACCGGUAACUGGGCGUGCAAGAACAGACAUAUAGAAAUAAGGUAUGACAUUCUGACGGGUAAGCCGAGCAUCUCAAACCCGCUCCAAACAUUCACACAUACGGUUUGAUCAUUGACUGGUCACAAAAAUAUGAUUCACGUGAACGCCUCAAACACCCGGGCUGAUCAACCAAAUCAAAGACGGAUAAGGAAGGCGUCCGGAUGCGUCCGCCCUAGAGGCCUACCCCAUCAUAAAUUGCAUCAAAUCUACCCCAUCCAUCCAUUUGCUAUCUUCUGUUGCUCCUCCCCAACGUAUCUCACCUGCUCCGCCGUUGCGGAGCAUGUGCGCCGACAACAUCGACACAACACUCCUCUAUUCAAUCCUCACAGCCCACGACGUCGUUGCCGGCCCGGACACCACUGUGGUACGCCCGACAAUUCUCGAGCUGGCCCUUGCGAUACAUUGUCCAGCCCGUUUCUUGCGAUUUUUAGGAAAAACAAUGAAUUCUGAUGCUUCGUUGGACGAGGAGUAUGGACUGACAUAGUUCGAUCAAAUGAUUGAAGAUGAGUUCUUCGAUUCGUUGAAUUCACACGAAGAACUGGACAUGAUCAUGCUCAUGAACAUGUAAGAGUAAAUGGACCGGCAGAGCAUAUUCCUAAUUUCAAGGGCUCAAUCAAAAAAAGAAGAAUGAUCAAUCGGGAUAGGGUCUGCGGCGCACGGCUACUAUAGAAGGACUACUUUGCUCCAUACCUAACUUUUUUGGAUCAUCACUGGUUUCGUCGCCGUUUUUUGCAUGCAAAAAACCAUUGUUUUUCCGCAUUAUGGGGGGAUUAAAGGCUUACGAUGACUACCACUAGUAGAAAAAGGCACAUUUGUCCCGGUUCCAUAGGCUCAUUAGCCCCGGUUCCGGAACCGGGACUAAAGUGUCGGGACUAAAGCCCAAAACCUUUAGUCCCGGUUCGCUUACCAACCGGGACCGAAGGGUCUCCACGUGUCCGCUGCGGGGAGCCCGAGCAGGAGGGCCGUUAGUCCCGGUUGGUCAUACUAACCGGGACAACAUGGCAUCCACGCGUCAGCAUCUGGCCGGAGCUGGGGGUUUUGUUUUUUCUGAAUGGGGGUGGGGGUGGAGGGUUAAUUUAGUGGUUUUUUAUUGUGUUAGCUAGCUACUAGAGAGAAGUGUCCUCUCUUUCUCCGUGCUUGGUCGACGCUAGCUACUAUACAUAUAGAGAGAACAUGACGCUAGCUAAUAAGAAAAUGAAGGAAACCAUUUACAAUCCCUAACAUCUUUUACAAUGCCUAACAUCAUCUACCUAAGAUUCAAUCACAAAUAGCUCACAUGGUAUUCUCCGUAUGACGUGGUCAAGAAAGAAUCCCGCCAAUUCCUCUUGGAUUGCUCGUAUGCCAUCAUCUGAUAGGGGUUCAUCCCGCUUCUUUCAGAUCUAAUUUAAAGAAGGGGGUCAAUACAUGCAUAUAUAUAUGAAUAAAACUCAACACAAUUGAUGGUAAUAUAUAAAAUAAAAUUGUGAAUAUUAUUUACGUACUUCAAAUUGUUUGUCAGAGAUGCCUCGCCCAGAGGUUGAGAGGCGAAUGAACUCGCAUACGUAGUAUGCACAUUUUUCAGUUCCAGCUACCUGGUACAAGCACUUUAUGAGAAUAGAGUUCAAUCAAACUGAUAAGCAAGCAUGGUAAUGAUAUAUUGAUGAAAAUUUGAAUCAAUUAGAGAUGCACGGAACUAGAUAGUACUACUUACCGGGGGGGGGUGCGUAAAUUGCAACUCUUUGUUUAGACCGGGAGACUUUGAGGUGAACUUCUUCCAAACCUUGCCAGACAAGGAAAAUGAUUACUUGAUAUCAGGAAAUUAAUGAAAGUUGCAUGCCGGUAUGGUCCUGGUAUUGACUGAACUUACUUCUUGAGCAUUGCAGUCAUGUCCGCAUAAUCCUCGGGAUCUUUACGUCUCGAGUCUAAGACAAUUACUUUUACCCCGUCAAGCUUAAUGGAUAGCAGAAUAAAGUGGUAACUGCGCACGCAUAUAUAACUCAUCAAUUACAUUUACUUAACCUCGAGUAAGCGAAACGAGUAUACAGAGAAUACAGCAACACUCACUUGAAGUUGUAAGGAAAGAGUAUUUCCCUUUUGUUUUGAAUUGCAAGCAAAGAGUUUAGCAAGCUAACCUCGGUCUCUUUGGUUUCAUUUCGUACCGACAAUACAUUUACGGCUUCUGGGCUAAUGAACCCAACGUCGAAGAUUCCUGCUUUUUUUAAUUCGACGAUCUUGAAGCUGCAUAAUAUAUAUAGUAAGGAUAAUUAUAUAUACAUGAAAUGAACGAGAUGAGCUAGAGACUUAAUUAUAGAAGUAAUACUUACAAACAGUAGGAAGUCAUGAAUUGUUUGUCGAGGCCAGUUGAUUGUAUAACUGAAAUAACUCCUCAAAUUGAACAAGCAGCACUGAAGUUCCAAUGAAAUCGUGAUCUUUUUUCACUCUCAUAUAGAUAGCGUCUUUCCCAGUCUCCCUGAAGAUGUUCAUGUACCACUCAUGCAAUUCGUGCAUCCUCGGUGUUAGAGGAGGAUGAUCAGGUUUGACCAGAGGCUUCCCGAGCACGUAUUCAUAUGUUUGUUUAUUUGCUACCUCAGCUAUAUAAAAAAUUACUGAAUGCUUCAUGUAAUCACCAGGAUUGGUACCGGGCAGCUGUUGGGGAACGUCGCAUGGGAAACAAAAAUUUUCCUACGCACACGAAGACCUAUCAUGGUGAUGUCCAUCGACGAGAGGGGAUAUGUGAUCUACGUACCCUUGUAGACCGUACAGCAGAAGCGUUAGUGAACGCGGUUGAUGUAGUGGAACGUCCUCAUGUCCCUCGAUCCGCCCCGUGAACCGUCCUGCGAUCAGUCCCACGAUCUAGUGCCGAACGGACGACACCUCCGCGUUCAGCACACGUACAGCUCGACGAAGAUCUCGGCCUUCUUGAUCCAGCAAGAGAGACGGAGAGGUAGAAGAGUUCUCCGGCAGCAUGACGGCGCUCCGGAGGUUGGUGGUGAUCUUAUCUCAGCAGGGCUCCGCCCGAGCUCCGCAGAAACGCGAUCUAGAGGAAAAACCGUGGAGGUAUGUGGUCGGGCUGCCGUGGAAAAGUCGUCUCAAAUCAGCCCUAAAACCUCCGUAUAUAUAGGGGGAAGAGGGGGAGCCUUGCCUUGGGGCUCAAGGACCCCCAAGGGGGUCGGCCGAGCCAAGGGGGAAAGGUCUCCCCUCCCAAACCGAAUCCAACUUGGUUUGGAAGGUGGAGUCCUUCUUCCCUUUCCCACCUCCUCCUGUUUUUUCUUUUCUCUUUGAUUUUCUUCCUAUGGCGCAUAGGGCCUUCUUGGGCUGUCCCACCAGCCCACUAAGGGCUGGUGCGCCACCCCCAAGGCCUAUGGGCUUCCCCGAGGUGGGUUGCCCCCCCGGUGAACACCCGGAACCCAUUCGUCAUUCCCGGUACAUUCCCGAUAACUCCGAAAACCUUCCGGUAAUAAAAUGAGGUCAUCCUAUAUAUCAAUCUUCGUUUCCGGACCAUUCCGGAAACCCUCAUGACGUCCGUGAUCUCAUCCGGGACUCCGAACAACAUUCGGCAACCAACCAUAUAACUCAAAUACGCAUAUAACAACGUCAAACCUUAAGUGUGCAGACCCUGCGGGUUAGAGAACUAUGUAGACAUGACCCGAGCGACUCCUCGGUCAAUAUCCAAUAGCGGGACCUGGAUGCCCAUAUUGGAUCCUCUCCCUAUAGNNNNNNNNNNNNNNNNNNNNNNNNNNNNNNNNNNNNNNNNNNNNNNNNNNNNNNNNNNNNNNNNNNNNNNNNNNNNNNNNNNNNNNNNNNNNNNNNNNNNACUGCAUUCACUUUAAAUAGGGCACCAUCAAAAUCCGUUGAGACGACACCAUACGAACUGUGGUAUGGCAAAAGGCCAAAGUUAUCGUUUCUUAAAAGUUUGGGGAUGUGAUGCUUAUGUCAAAAAGCUUCAGCCUGAAAAGCUGGAACCCAAAGCGGAAAAGUGCGUCUUCAUAGGUUACCCAAAAGAGACAGUUGGGUACACCUUCUAUCUCAAAUCCGAGGGCAAAGUGUUUGUUGCUAAAAACGGAGCUUUUCUCGAGAAGGAGUUUCUCUCGAGAGAAUUGAGUGGGAGGAAGAUAGAACUUGACGAGGUUGUCAAACCUCUCAUCCCUCUGGAUGGUGGCGNCAGGGCAAGGGGAAACCUCUGUCGUUGCGACACCGGUUGAGGAGGAAGUUAAUGAUGAUGAUCAUGAAACUCCAGUUCAAGUUUCUGUCGAACCACGCAGGUCGACGAGACCACGUGCUGCUCCAGAGUGGUACGGUAAUCCCGUCUUAUCAAUCAUGUUGUUAGACAACAAUGAAGCUGCAAAUUAUGAAGAAGCAAUGGUGGGCCCAGAUUCCAACAAAUGGCUAGAAGCCAUGAAGUCCGAGAUAGGAUCCAUGUAUGAGAACAAAGUGUGGACUUUGGAGGGACUACCUGAGGGCAGCAAGGCUAUUCAGAACAAAUGGAUCUUUAAGAGGAAGACGGCCGCUGACGCCAAUGUGACCGUUUAUAAAGCUCGACUUGUGGCAAAGGGUUUUUCACAAGUUCAAGGAGUUGACUACGAUGAGACAUUCUCACCCGUAGCGAUGCUUAAGUCCGUCAGAAUCAUGUUAGCAAUAGCUGCAUUUUUCGAUUAUGAAAUCUCGCAGAUGGAUGUCAAAACGGCAUUCCUUAACGGUUUCCUUAAGGAAGAGUUGUAUAUGAUACAACCCGAANNNNNNNNNNNNNNNNNNNNNNNNNNNNNNNNNNNNNNNNNNNNNNNNNNNNNNNNNNNNNNNNNNNNNNNNNNNNNNNNNNNNNNNNNNNNNNNNNNNNAUGAUCUCCAUCAACGUGUUGCCAUCGGGGUUGUCGUGCUACUCAUGCUAUUACUACUAAAGCUACAUCCUAGCAAAAUAGUAAACGCAUCUGCAAGCACAAACGUUAGUAUAAAGACAACCCUAUGGCUCAUGCCGGUUGCCGUACCAUCGACGUGCAAGUCGAUAUUUACUAUUACAACAUGAUCAUCUCAUACAUCCAAUAUAUCACAUCACAUCGUUGGCCAUAUCACAUCACAAUCAUACCCUCAAAAAACAAGUUAGACGUCCUCUAAUUUUGUUGUUGCAUGUUUUACGUGGUGACCAUGGGUAUCUAGUAGGAUCGCAUCUUACUUACGCAAACACCACAACGGAGAUAUAUGAGUUGCUAUUUAACCUCAUCCAAGGACCUCCUCGGUCAAAUCCGAUUCAACUAAAGUUGGAGAAACCGAAACUUGCCAGUCCUCUUUGAGCAACGGUGUUACUCGUAGCGAUGAAACCAGUCUAUCGUAAGCAUACGAGUAAUGUCGGUCCAAGCCGCUUCAAUCCAACAAUACCGCAGAAUCAAGAAAAGACUAAGGAGGGCAGCAAAACGCACAUCACCGCCCACAAAAACUUUUGUGUUCUACUCGAGAAGACAUCUACGCAUGAACCUAGCUCAUGAUGCCACUGUUGGGGAACGUCGCAGGGGGGGGGGGGGGGUUCCUACGCGCACGAAGACCUAUCAUGGUGAUGUCCAUCUACGAGAGGGGAUGAGUGAUCUACGUACCCUUGUAGAUCGUACAGCAGAAGCGUUAGUGAACACGGUUGAUGUAGUGGAACGUCCUCACAUCCCUCGAUCCGCCCCGCGAACAAUCCCGCGAUCAGUCCCACGAUCUAGUACCGAACGGACGACACCUCCGCGUUCAGCACACGUACAGCUCGACGAUGAUCUCGGCCUUCUUGAUCCAGCAAGAGAGACGGAGAGGUAGAAGAGUUCUCCGGCAGCGUGACGGCGCUCCGGAGGUUGGUGAUGACCUUGUCUCAGCAGGGCUUCGCCCGAGCUCCGCAGAAACGCGAUCUAGAGGAAAAACCGUGGAGGUAUGUGGUCGGGCUGCCGUGGAAAAGUCGUCUCAAAUCAGCCCUAAAACCUCCGUAUAUAUAGGUGGGAGGGAGGGGACCUUGCCUUGGGGCUCAAGGAGCCCCAAGGGGGUCGGACGAGUCCAAAGGGGAAGGCUCCCCCCCAGACCGAGUUGGACUUGGUUUGGUGGGUGGGAGUCCUUCCUUCCCUUCCCACCUCCCUUUUUUUCUUUUCUCUUUGAUUUUCUUUCCUAGGCGCAUAGGGCCCUUUUGGGCUGUCCCACCAGCCCACUAAGGGCUGGUGUGCCACUCUCAAGGCCUAUGGGCUUCCCCGGGGUGGGUUGCCCCCCCGGUGAACUCCCGGAACCCAUUCGUCAUUCCCGGUACAUUCCCGGUAACUCCGAAAACCUUCCGGUAAUCAAAUGAGGUCAUCCUAUAUAUCAAUCUUCGUUUCUGGACCAUUCCGGAAACCCUCGUGACGUCUGUGAUCUCAUCCGGGACUCCGGACAACAUUCGGUAACCAACCAUAUAACUCAAAUACACAUAAAACAACGUCGAACCUUAAGUGUGCAGACCCUGCGGGUUCGAGAAUUAUGUAGACAUGACCCGAGAGACUCCUCGGUCAAUAUCCAAUAGCGGGACCUGGAUGCCCAUAUUGGAUCCUACAUAUUCUACGAAGAUCUUAUCNGUUUGAACCUCAGUGCCAAGGAUUCGUAUAAUCCCGUAUGUCAUUCCCUUUGUCCUUCGGUAUGUUACUUGCCCGAGAUUCGAUCGUCAGUAUCCGCAUACCUAUUUCAAUCUCGUUUACCGGCAAGUCUCUUUACUCGUUCCGUAAUACAACAUCCCGCAACUUACACUAAGUUACAUUGCUUGCAAGGCUUGUGUGUGAUGUUGUAUUACCGAGUGGGCCCNNNNNNNNNNNNNNNNNNNNNNNNNNNNNNNNNNNNNNNNNNNNNNNNNNNNNNNNNNNNNNNNNNNNNNNNNNNNNNNNNNNNNNNNNNNNNNNNNNNNCCGACGUUUUUCGACCCGUCUAACCCUACUUCAACUUUUUAGCACAUGCUAUGUGGGUGAAAUGAUGAUACCAUGCCAACUUUCAACAUUUUUUAGAGUUCAUUUGUAGUGCUUUUCAAUUUAAGGGUCAUUUAGCUCAAAAAAUCAGUAAAUGCAUGAAAAAUACCAAAUGAAGUCAGAAAUAGUUGAAAAUUGAUGAUGUGGCUUUGAAUGGUGCAUUUUGAACACACAAAAAAGUCUUGAGUUCAAAUAAGUUCAAAAAAAAUGAAAUCCCUUUGUAACACAUGAGUUUUCGUAUGAAACCCUCAUACUUCGAAAGAGAUUGUCCGUUUUGUACACGAAGUGCAUCCAGCUUUUGUCGCAACCCUCUCAACUUUUUAGCACAUGCUAUGUGGGUGAAAUGAUGAUACCAUGCCAACUUUCAACAUUUCCACAGUUCAUUUGUAGUGUUUUCAAUUUAAGGGUCAUUUAGCUCAAAAAAAUGAGUAAAUGCAUGAAAAAUACCAAAUGAAGUGUUUUUGAAUUUUGUGACCUGAAAGCAAAAAGAAUCACUGAAAAAUAGUAAGGAGGAACAAAAUAAAAUAAAUAAAGUAAAAAACAAAAAAAUAGCUUUUUUUAAAUGCCACCUACUGGGCGACCGCGGCGUGAAUACGACUAGAAACCCAACCAGCCUAUUGGGCCAGGAUUCAGGCCCGGAGUAGGCCCAAUAGGCCCUGAAGCAGUGACCCAUUAGGCCCGGAGUAGGCCCAAUAGGCCUAGAGUCAGUGACCCAUUAGGCCCGGAAGCCUGCAAUUGAAAGGAGCUCGAGAGGUUGUGCGCAGCUGCGCUUAUAAACCACUCGCUACCUCUCUCGGCUAGCGAUGUGGGACUAAACUUUUAGCCUCGGGCAGCACCACACUUUGGUCCUAGCUGGUGGCUCCAACCGGCACCAAUACGGACCUUUUGUCCCGGUUGGAGUCACUAAUCCGUACUAAAGGUCUCUUCUUCCCGCCCUUUUGGGCCAACGAAAUUGACCUUUAGUCCCGGUUGGUGUACCAAACCGGGACUAAAGUGUUGCUAUGGUUCCGGUUUGAGCCACCAACCGGAAACAAAGGUAUUCAUAUAUUGCGGGAGUUGUCAAAAUUUCCACCAACUUCCAUUUCCUCCCCGUUCUCUCUUCGUCGUCGCCGUCGCCGCCGUCCCGCGCCUCCUCCACGAGCCCGACGUCGUCCUCGCCGUCGCUCCUGAGCCCGUCGUCGCCCCGAGCCCAUCGCCGUUGUCGUCGCUCCCGAGCCCAUCGUCGCCCCGAGCCCGUCGCGCCCCGUCGUCCCCGAGCCCGUCGCGCGCCGUCAUCCCCGAGCCCAUCMAUCGCCCAGAGCCCAUCGCGCUCCAUCGUCCCCGAGCCCAUCGUCGUCGCCGUCGCCGUCGCUCCUGAGCCCAUCGUCGUCGUCCGUUGUCGCCCGUCGUCGCCGUCACCGUCGUCGCCGUAGCCCCCGAUCCCAUCGCCGCUGUCAUCGUCGCCCGUCGCCCGGCGUUGUUCCGAAGCCCGCCGUCGUCGCCCGUCGACGCGCCGGUAGCACGUCCAUCUCCAUCGCCAUAUCCCUAUUUGUGAAUCCAUGUGUGAGGAGACGUAGUCUAAUUGCGAAUCCAUGUGUGUAUUUCAGUCUUAUUAGAAUAUGUUGGGUACAUUUUUGAACUCCCCAAUGUGACACAAGUUAUAAAAAUUAUAAAAAUAUUUAGAUUAGAUUAAGUUACAAUAGCAGAUAAAGUUAUAAAAAUUAUAAAAAUAUUUAGAUUAGAUUAAGUUUUUAUGUUAAUAUUUGGGAUUAUGUAUAAAAGUUAGUUUUUACCUUAUUUUUAUUUUAGUUUUAAUAAAAAGUAUUUUACCGAAAAAGGGCUUCCCCCACUUUGUAAUAUUUGUAUAAACAAUGGAUAUUCCAAGAGACAUGGACCAAGAUGAAAUUUUGGGGGAUAUAAUCCACGACGACGGUAAUGUCGAUUUCUUUCUCAACAACAUCGAUGGUCUGGAAGGAGAGGAUUACGGCUCCGGUGAUCGAACAAUGGAGGAGGAAGGACAUUAUCAUGAUGGCUUAGGUGGCUACCGAAUCCCGGAGGAAGGGGAUCAUGAUGACAGCUCCGGUGACUGAUAUGUCUCCGUCGUAUCUAUAAUUUUUGAUUGUUUCAUGCCAAUAUUCUACAACUUUCAUAUACUUUUAGCAACUUUCUAUACUAUUUUUGGGACUAACAUAUUGAUCCAGUGCCCAGUGCCAGUUCCUGUUUGUUGCAUGUUUUUUGUUUCGCAGAAUACCCAUACCAAACGAAGUCCAAACGCAAUAAAAAAACCUAUGGGGAUUUUUUUGGAAUAUUUAUGAUUUUUGGGAAGAGGAAUCAACGCGAAACGAUGCCCGACGGGGUCACGAGCCCAGGAGGCGCGCUCUACCCCCCAGGCUCGCCUGGCAGGCUCGUGACCAACCCCUAAGGCGGUUGGGGCCCUUCUUUUGCCGCAAGAAAGCUAAUAUCCGGAAGAAAAUCGUGUUAAAAGGACACCUCAAUCGGAGUUACGGAUCUCCAGGAAUUUAAGAAACGGUGAAAGGACAGAAUCUGGGAGCGCAAAAACAAAAGGACACAGAGAGAGAGAGAUCCAAUCUCGGAGCGGCUCUCGCCCCUCCGCCGCCAUGGAGAUCAUGGACUAGAGGGGAAACCCUUCUCCCAUCUAGGGAGGAGGUCAAGGAAGAAGAAGAAGAAGGGGGGCUCUCUCUCCCGGCGACGCCGGAACACCGCCCGAGACAUCAUCGUGUGACGGCGAUCUACACCAACACCUCCGUCAUCUUCACCAACACAUCCAUCACAUUCCCCCAUCUAUAUUCAGCGGUCCACUCUCCCACAACCCGCUGUACCCUCUACUUGAACAUGGUGCUUUAUGCUUCAUAUUAUUAUCCAAUGAUGUGUUGCCAUCCGAUGAUGUUUGAGUAGAUUUUCGUUGUCCUAUCGGUGAUUGAUGAAUUGCUAUGAUUGGUUUAAUUUGCUUGUGGUUAUGUUGCUUUCUUUGGUUCCCAUCAUAUGAGCGCGCGCGUGGAUCACACCAUAGGGUUAGUAGUAAGUUGAUAGGACUAUGUAUUGGAGGGCAAGGGUGACAGAAGCUUCAGCCUAGCAUAGAAAUUGAUGCAUACGUGAUUGAAGGGGGACCAAUAUAUCUUAUUGCUAUAAUUGGGUUUUACCUUAAUGAACAUUAGUAGUUGUGGAUGCUUGCUAAUAGUUCCAAUCAUAAGUGCAUAGAAUUCCAAGUAAGGGAUGACAUGCUAGCAGUGGCCUCUCCCACAUAAAACUUGCUAUCGGUCUAGUAACGUAGUCAAUUGCUAAGGGACAAUUCCGCAACUCCUACCACCACUUUUCCACACUCGUUAAACUAAUGUAAUUGUUUCUUUAUCUAAAAAGCCCCUAGUUUUUAUUUACGUGUUCUUUAGUAUCUUGGAAACCUAUCCUAUCACACCUACAAAGUACUUAUAGUUUCAUACUUGUUCUAGGUAAAGCGAACGUAAAGUGUGUGUAGAGUUGUAUCGGUGGUCGAUAGAACUCGAGGGAAUAUUUGUCCUACCUUUAGCUCCUUGUUGGGUUCGACACUCUUACUUAUCGAGAAAGGCUACAAUUUAUCCCCUAUACUUGUGGGUUAUCAAGACCUUUUUCUGGCGCCGUUGCCGGGGAGCAAUAGCAUGGGGUGAAUAUUCUCGUGUGUGCUUGUUUGCUUUAUCACUAAGUAGAUUUAUUUGUUGUUCUAAGUUGUUCUCUAUCUUUGGUUAUGGAUAUGGAACACGAAAUACCAAAAAAAAUUAGGUGUACUUGCUACUCAUGGAGAUGGGGAACCUUCUAAAACCCUCCAUGCUCGUUAUGUGGAAAAUAUUAUGCACUUCUUUAAUAAUCCUGAGAAAACCCCAUUCAGUUAUAUAAUGGGAGACACGUUGGAUCAACGUGAAUACUUUAGGGAUUAUCGCUUGACUCAAAAAGGGAAACUAUUAUGGGAUCAAAUUCAUAUGUUGAAAUGGUAUGCUUGGGAACUAUGCUUGAGAUAUGAUAUUACUUGCUGCUCUAGGAUGAAGGCUCAACACCUUCCCUUUUCUUGUAAAUUUAAUGCUAAUGAAACCUUGGUUUCUUAUGCUAAUGGUAUAUAUGAUUACUAUGAUGUGGAACAAAUAGAAGAGUUUGUUACUUUUAUGGGUGCUUAUGAAAUUGAAGCUCUGUUUAAAAGGUGUGAUGAUAAUGAUGAUGCUGCUUACCGAUCAAAAAAUGUGGUUAUGCUUCAUUAUUGUUAUACUAAUUAUGAAUAUAAUGCCCAUAUUUAUCGAUUUAUGGAGAAGUUCUAUGCUGCCCAAGAAGAGACAAAUAUUUUGGAGGAAACUAUGGAAGAAGAAAAUGCUGAAACUGUGAGCUCAUUAGAUGAAAAAGAUGACGAGGAGAGUGAUGAACAAAAGGAGGAAGAGCGGACUAGCUACCCGUGCCCACCUUCUAAUGAUAGUAACUCUUCAACUCAUACAUUGUUUAAUUUCCUUUCGUUCUUACCGAAGGCUGAAUGCUAUGUUGAUUGCUAUGAUCCCUUGGAUUCGUUUGAAAUAUCGCUUUUUGAUGAACUUGAUGCUUGCUAUGCUUGUGGCCAUGAUGCCAAUAUGAAUGAUGCUUAUGAAUAUGAACUUGCUAUGGUUACUUAUGUUAAACAUGAAAUUUUUUCUAUCACACCCACUUAUGAUAGUCCUAUUAUCUUUUUGAACUCUCCCAACUACACUAUAUCGGAGAAGUUUGCUCUUAUUAGGGAUUACAUAGAUGGGUUGCCUUCUACUAUUACACAUGAUGAUUUUGAUAAAUAUAAUAUGCAUGUGCUUGCUUCUCCUACUUGCAAUUGUUAUAAGAGAGGAACUACAUCUCCACCUCUCUAUGUUUCCAAUACGAUAAAAUUGCAAGAAACUGCUUAUGCUAUGUAUUGGCCUUUACUUGAUGUGCAUGAAUUGUUACUUUAUGACAUGCCAAUGCAUAGGAAGAGAGUUAGACUUCUUCAUUGCAUGAUAUAUGUUACCUUGUGCUCACUACUAAAUUACAAAUCAUUGUUAAUUAAAAUUGGCUUUGAUAUACCUUGGGAUCCGGGUGGAUCCAUUACUUGAGCACUUUAUGUCUAGCUUAAUGGCUUUAAAGAAAGCGCUGCCUGGGAGACAACUCGGAAGUUUUAGAGAGUCAUUUAUUUCUGUUGAGUGCUUUUAUAUAGUUUAAAAACAAAAAUAUAUAUAGAGGGGAACUUAAAACUUUUUCAAAAAGAGAAGCGAUUGAAAGGUGAUGCAUUGCGGAAGUGAGGGUCGACCUUGAACACUUGUGUUCAUGCUCAUGGAAACAAUGUAGAAUUUUUCAUGGAAGUUUAUCGCAAAAAAUAAUUAUCCCCUUGUACAAUUCCAUUGUAUUAUAAAAAUAAUGUGCCAAGUAAAGCCUUUAUGAUUAGUUUGGGUGAUAGUUGUUUGAUCAUGCUGAAAAAGACAGAAACUUUGCACUCACGAAAUCAUUUCUUAUAUCUAUACAGAGAGGGAUAUUGAGUUGAUUCUUUUGUCUGCUGAUUGAUAUACAAAUUGCCUUAAUGAUAAUAAUUUUUUCAGAAUUUUUGGAGUAUCAGAAGUAUGGUAUGUGUUCAGAUUACUACAGACUGUUCUGUUUUUUGACAGAUUUUGUUUUCUAUGCAUUGUUCUCUUAUUUUAAUGAAUCUAUGGGUAGUAUCGGGGGGUAUCAACCAUGGUGAAGUUGGAUUACAGUAGAUAUAAUGCUAAUAUGAAUUUGGAAUGAGUUCACAACAGUACUUAAAGUGGUGAUUUACUUUAUUAUACUAACGGAUCUCACGAAGGUUUUGUUGAGUUUUGUGUGAUUGAAGUUUUCAAGUUUUGGGUGAGACCACGAUGGAUGAAGUAAUAAGGAGAGGCAAGAGCCUAAGCUUGGGGAUGCCCGAGGCACCCCAAGGUAAUAUUCAAGGAAGACUCAAGCGUCUAAGCUUGGGGAUGCCCCGGAAGGCAUCCCCUCUUUCGUCUACAUUCUAACGGUAAUUUUACUCGGAGCUAUAUUUUUAUUCGUCACAUGAUAUGUGCAAAUGCUUGGAGCGUCUUUUGUGUUUAUUUUUCCUUUUUCUUUUAUGCACCAUGCUGGUAUGAGAUAGUCCUUGGUUGAUUUCUAGAAUGCUCUUUGACUUCACUUAUAUCUUUUGAGUAUGGCUUUAUAGAAUGCUUCAUGUGCUUCACUUAUAUCAUUUGAAGUUUGGAUUGCCUGUUUCCCUACACAUAGAAAACCGCCAUUUGUAGAAUGCUCUUUUGCUUCACUUAUAUUUGUUAGAGCGGGGCAUAUCUUUUGUAAAAAGAAUUAAACUCUCAUGCUUCACUUAUACCUAUUUAGAGAGUUAACAGGAGUUGGUCAUUCAGAUGGUUAGUCAUAAAAUCCUACAUAAAACUUGUAGAUCACUGAAUAUGAUAUGUUUGAUUCCUUGCAAUAGUUUUGCGACAUGAAGAUGUGAUAUUAGAUUCAUGCUAGUGAGUAAUUGUGUAUUCGUAGAAAUACUUGUGUUAAGGUUUGUGAUUCCCGUAGCAUGCACGUAUGGUGAACCGUUAUGUGACGAGGUCUGAGCAUGAUUAAUUUAUUGAUUGUCAUCCUUUGUGUGGAGGUCGGGAUCGCGUGAUGGUUAACUGCUACCAACCCUUCCCCUAGGAGCAUGCGUGUAGUACCUUGUUUGGAUGACUAAUAGACUUUUGCAAUAAGUAUGUGAGUUCUUUAUGACUAAUGUUGAGUCCAUGCAUUAUACGCACUCUCACCCUUUCACCAUUGCUAGCCUCUCUAGUACCGCGCAACUUUCGCCAGUGCAUUACACCCACCAUAUACCCUUCCUCAAAACAACCACCAUACCUCAUGUUAUGGCAUUUCCAUAGCCAUUCCGAGAUAUAUUGCCAUGCAACUUCCAUCGUUCCAUUUAUUAUGACACGCACCAUCAUUGUCAUAUUGCUUUGCAUAUUUGUAAGAUAGCUAGCAUGAUGUUUUCAUGGCUUGUCCAUUUUUUGAUGUCAUUGCUACGCUAGAUCAUUGCACAUCCCGGUACACCGUCGGAGGCAUUCAUAUAGAGUCAUAUUUUAUUCUAAAUAUCGAGUUGUAAGUAAAUAAAAGUGUGAUGAUCAUCAUUAUUAGAGAAUUGUCCCAUGUGAGGAAGUAAUAAAAGAGGCCAAUGAAGCCCAAAUUAAAAAAAAUUAGGCCAAAGAAUCCCACCAAAAAAAGGGAGAAAAAAUAGAGAGAAAAGAGAGAAGGGACAAUGCUACUAUCCUUUACCACACUUGUGCUUCAAAGUAGCACCAUGAUCUUCAUGAUAGAGAGUCUCCUAUGUUGUCACUUUCAUAUACUAGUGGGAAAUUUUCAUUAUAGAACUUGGCUUGUAUAUUCCAACGAUGGGCUUCCUCAAAUUGCCCUAGGUCUUCAUGAGCAAGCGAGUUGGAUGCACACCCACUAGUUUAUUUUUUGAACUUUCAUACACUUAUAGCUCUUGUGCAUCUGUUGCAUGGCAAUCCCUACUCACUCACAUUGAUAUCUAUUGAUGGGCAUCUCCAUAGCCCGUUGAUACGCCUAGUUGAUGUGAGACUAUCUCCUCCUUUUUGUCUUUUCCACAACCACCAUAUUCUAUUCCACCUAUAGUGCUAUGUCCAUGGCUCACGCUCAUGUAUUGCGUGAAAGUUGAAAAAGUUUUAGAACACUAAAGUAUGAAACAAUUGCUUGGCUAAAACCGGGGUUGUGCAUGAUUUAAAUACGUGUGGGGAAGAUGGAGCAUAGCCACACUAUAUGAUUUUGUAGGGAUAACUUUCUUUGGCCAUGAUAUUUUGAGAAGACAUGAUUGCUUUGUUAGUAUGCUUGAAAUAUUAUUGUCUUUAUGUCAAAUGAUAGACUAUUGCUUCGAAUCACUCGUGUUUUAGUAUUCAUGCCAUGAUUAGAUUAUAUGAUCAAGAUUAUGCUAGGUAGCAUUCCACAUCAAAAAUUAUCUUUUUUAUCAUUUACCUACUCGAGGACGAGCAGAAAUUAAGCUUGGAGAUGCUGAUACGUCUCCGUCGUAUCUAUAAUUUUUGAUUGUUUCAUGCCAAUAUUCUACAAUUGUCAUAUACUUUCGGCAACUUUUUUAUACUAUUUUUUGGGACUAACAUAUUGAUCCAGUGCCCAGUGCUAGUUCCUAUUUGUUGCAUGUUUUUUGUUUCGCAGAAUAUCCAUACCAAACGAAGUCCAAACGCAAUAAAAAACCUACGGGGAUUUGUUUUGGAAUAUUUAUGAUUUUUGGGAAGAAGAAUCAACGCGAAACGAUGCCCGAGGGGGUCACGAGCCCAGGAGGCGCGCCCUAUCCCCCAGGCACGCCUGGCAGGCUCGUGACCAACCCCUAUGGCGGUUGGGGCCCUUUUUUCCCUCAAGAAAGCUAAUAUCCGGAAGAAAAUCGUGUUAAAAGGACACCUCAAUCGGAGUAACGGAUCUCCGGGAAUUUAAGAAACGGUGAAAGGCCAGAAUCUGGGAGCACAGAAACAGAAGGAAAUAGAGAGAGAGAGAGAUCCAAUCUCGGAGGGGCUCUCGCCCCUCCGCCGCCAUGGAGACCAUGGACCAGAGGGGAAACCCUUCUCCCAUCUAGGGAGGAGGUCAAGGAAGAAGAAUAAGGGGGCUCUCUCCCCCCUCUCUCCCGGCGGCGCCGGAACGCCGCCCGUGACAUCAUCGUGUGACGGCGGUCUACACCAACACCUCCGUCAUCUUCACCAACACCUCCGUCAUCUUCACCAACACCUCCAUCACCUUCCCCCAUCUAUAUUCAGCGGUCCACUCUCCCGCAACCUGUUGUACCCUCUACUUGAAUAUGGUGCUUUAUGCUUCAUAUUAUUAUCCAAUGAUGUGUUGCCAUCCUAUGAUGUUUGAGUAGAUUUUCGUUGUCCUAUUGGUGAUUGAUGAAUUGCUAUGAUUGGUUUAAUUUGCUUGUGGUUAUGUUGUUGUCCUUUGGUGCCCAUCAUAUGAGCGCGCGCGUGGAUCACACAAUAGGGUUAGUAGUAUGUUGAUAGGACUAUGUAUUGGAGGGCAAGGGUGACAGAAGCUUCAGCCUAACAUAGAAAUUGAUGCAUACGGGAUUGAAGGGGGACCAAUAUAUCUUAUUGCUAUGGUUGGAUUUUACCUUAAUGAACGUUAGUAGUUGCAGAUGCUUGCUAAUAGUUCCAAUCAUAAGUUCAUAGAAUUCCAAGUAAGGGAUGACAUGCUAGCAGUGGCCUCUCCCACAUAAAACUUGCUAUCGGUCUAGUAACGUAGUCAAUUGCUUAGGGACAAUUCCGCAACUCCUACCACCACUUUUCCACACUCGUUAAACUAAUGUAAUUGUUUCUUUAUCUAAACAGCCCCUAGGUUUUAUUUACGUGUUCUUUAUUAUCUUGCAAACCUAUCCUAUCACACCUACAAAGUACUUCUAGUUUCAUACUUGUUUUAGGUAAAGCGAACGUAGAGUGUGCGUAGAGUUGUAUCGGUGGUCGAUAGAACUUGAGGGAAUAUUUGUCCUACCUUUAGCUCCUCGUUGGGUUCGACACUCUUACUUAUCGAGAAAGGCUACAAUUGAUCCCCUAUACUUGUGGGUUAUCAGUGACCGAACGGAGGAGGGAGCUAUUGAAAAGUCCGGAUCGAGCCAAACUUCGGUAAUGAGACGAGGCCCGAAGAGAAGGUUGGGCAAGGAUCAAAAGUUCAUGAUCACAUGACUCGCGAACGAUGGCCUACCGAUUGAACCCAAGUGGACCAAGGAUGCAUUUUCUGCUCAGUGCGGAGCUAUUAUCAGGGACAACAUCCCGAUCAGCAUCAAGCAAUGGAAUAAGCCUAAGGGAGACGACGUACCUGAAGGUGAUUAUGUCACCGAUAGGCAGAAAGAUGAUCUUUGGACUGCGCUGAAGGAAAAUUUCACCCUACCGCCAGAGGAGGAUCCGAAUAAGCCAGUUAUAGAGCCACUGGUCAAGGUGUGUGCUCUUAAGAAGAUGGCAGAUCUAUUCAGGAGGUGGAAGAAUGAGUUGAAAUCAAAGUUUUUCGACAAAGGGAAGACUCCAGAAUUCGUCAGCUGAUUUGAGAAGAUGAGAGAUCACUGGCCCGCAUUUGUGUCCUACAAGAAAUCAGACAAGAGUAAGAAAAUGUCACAGACAAACAAGAACAAUGCUACAAAGAAGCAGUAUCACCAUCACACGGGGUCAGGUGGAUACCUCGAAGCCGUCCGUUGUGGGACAAAGCUGAGAAUGACCUGAUUGCUAAAGGGGUCCAACCAUAGACAUGAAACUGGCCCGACCGUUCAAGGAAUUGGUUCUUCAAGGUCGGGGGAACUUUGGACCCUGAAACAGGGAAGUGUCGUUGGACGGACGAGCAACUUGCAACACCCAUCAACAAGCUUCAGAAGUGUAUCACCGCAGCGCGGGAAGGGGCGUUCUUUCCUGACGAAGAGAAGGACGAGCUGACUGAGGCCCUAGGGAAUGUUGAGCACCCUGGACAAACACGAGGCACACCAGGCUCCGUUCCAUGGAAGGUUGGGUUUCCCGACGCAGCCGGUUAUAGAAGCCGAGAGAGAAAGAGGAAAGUGGAGCUCAGCGACAUGCAAAAGAUCAAUGCAAGACUACAAAUUCUAGAGGAACUUGAGAGCCAGCGAGCGGCCGACCAACCAUCUCAGCGUCACGAAACUACCCAGAAGUUACCCCGCCAUCUCAGCGAAGAAGCAGCAUGGCUUCCACGGAGCUCGUUCAGCCUGACUUCACGGCUCCAAGCUACCCCGUGGAUACUAUCACGGAGUCUCAACCUUGCGAUCUUUUGACGAAAUGUCGGAACCUCACUUUCAAGGCUGCUAUCGGCUUCGUUGCACCUUCUGAACCAACGGAACUUUUCACUGCCUUCCGAUUCCACGUGGCUUUGCUAUUCAGAUGGUGGAUGAAGUAAAGGAGGGAUUUGAGCAGCUCGAGCUUGACCACCCUACAGGUGAAGGGGAGAAUAAGUUGGUUCAUGAUGUGAGGAGUACAUGUCUAUGGCCGAAGGAGUACAUCAACCUUCCAAACUGGACGCCUCCUCGUCCUCCUCCUCCGGUGAUUGAUCAGGGCACUCCUCAUCCUCCUCCGGCGAGUGAUCAGGGCACUACAGCUCCUCCGACGCGUGAGGGCACUCCACCUCCUUCUUCGGCUCCUCCUCUAGCGCGUGAGGGCACUCCGUCUCCUUCUUCAACUCCUUCUUCGACGCGUCGAAGUAGUCUGCCUCCUUCUUCGGCUCCUCCUCCAGUGCGUCGGAGCACUCCGCCUCCUUCUUUGACUCCUCCUCCAGCGCAUCGGAGCAGUCCUCCUCCUUCGGCUCCUCCUCAGGCACGUCAUAGCAGUCCUCCUCCUUCGGCUCCUCCUCAGGUGCGUCGGAGCAGUCCUCCUCCUUCGGCUCCUCCUCAGGCGCGCCGGAGCAGUCCGCCUCCUCCACAACGGUGGAAGACAAACGUCGUCGCCGCUCCGCAGAAAAUUACACAAGUAAGAAAGAUGUCGCCUCCUCCUCCUUCUCUCAAGCGGAAGACAAACUCCGCCGCCGCUCUGGAGGCUACCAGUGAUGCAAUGUUAGCAAAACGAAGAAGUGGGAAAACAAUUCCCCAGCUCGGCCAACAGAAGAAGCAAUCGUGCCCCCCGCUCAAGGUGUCUAGCGAUAUCAUCGUCGCUAAUGAUCCGGGGUUGCUGUUGUUGGAAAUAUGCCCUAGAGGCAAUAAUAAAUUAGUUAUUAUUAUAUUUCUUUGUUCAUGAUAAUCGUUUAUUAUCCAUGCUAUAAUUGUAUUGAUUGGAAACACAAUACUUGUGUGGAUACAUAGACAAAACACUGUCCCUAGUAAGCCUCUAGUUGACUAGCUCGUUGAUCAAAGAUGGUCAAGGUUUCCUGACCAUGGGCAAGUGUUGUCACUUGAUAACGGGAUCACAUCAUUAGGAGAAUCAUGUGAUGGACUAAGACCCAAACUAAUAGACGUAGCAUGUUGAUCGUGUCAUUUUGUUGCUACUGUUUUCUGCGUGUCACGUAUUUGUUCCUAUGACCAUGAGAUCAUAUAACUCACUCACACCGGAGGAAUGCUUUGUGUGUAUCAAACGUCGCAACGUAACUGGGUGACUAUAAAGAUGCUCUACAGGUAUCUCCGAAGGUGUUAGUUGAGUUAGUAUGGAUCGAGACUGGGAUUUGUCACUCCGUGUGACGGAGAGGAAUCUCGGGGCCCACUCGGUAAUACAACAUCACACACAAGCCUUGCAAGCAAUGUGACUUAGUGUAAGUUGCGGUAUCUUGUAUUAUGGAACGAGUAAAGAGACUUGCGGGUAAACGAGAUUGAAAUAGGUAUGCGGAUACUGACGAUCGAAUCUCGGGCAAGUAACAUACCGAAGGACAAAGGGAAUGACAUACGGGAUUAUAUGAAUCCUUGGCACUGAGGUUCAAACGAUAAGAUCUUCGUAGAAUAUGUAGGAUCCAAUAUGGGCAUCCAGGUCCCACUAUUGGAUAUUGACCGAGGAGUCGCUCGGGUCAUGUCUACAUAGUUCUCGAACCCGCAGGGUCUGCACACUUAAGGUUCGACGUUGUUAUAUGCGUAUUUGAGUUAUAUGGUUGGUUGCCGAAUGUUGUUCGGAGUCCCGGAUGAGAUCACAAACGUCAUGAGGGUUUCCGGAAUGGUCCGGAAACGAAGAUUGAUAUAUAGGAUGACCUCAUUUGAUUACCGGAAGGUUUUCGGAGUUACCGGGAAUGUACCGGGAAUGACGAAUGGGUUCCGGAUGUUCACCGGGGGGGGCAACCCACCUCGGGGAAGCCCAUAGGCCUUGGGGGUGGCGCACCAGCCCUUAGUGGGCUGGUGGGACAGCCCAAGAAGGCCCUAUGCGCCAUANNNNNNNNNNNNNNNNNNNNNNNNNNNNNNNNNNNNNNNNNNNNNNNNNNNNNNNNNNNNNNNNNNNNNNNNNNNNNNNNNNNNNNNNNNNNNNNNNNNNCAGGAUGGCCCAGGCGAGCAUGCCAAAGGUCGACACCAGCGGCGAGGGAGACGGGGCGGGUGGAGGCAGCGGCGGAGGGAUGCACCGGGUAGAGAUCCUGAGAGCUAUCACAUCGGUGCAGUACCAUCCGGGUAGGGGCAUCCUUCACAGUAAAAUCGACAACGUCAAAUUCAACAGUAAGAGGAUUCUCACGAGCAAGGCAACGAACAGAACAAAGUUUCGUGACUAAUUCGGGAGAAACAAGAACAUUAGACAUGUUGAUAGGUGUAGAUGAAGAGGGAAACGAUGUAUGCCCUAUAUGUGUGAUGGGUAAAGAUGAACCAUUACCAACGGUGAUACAAGUAGGAGUAUGAACUGGAGUAGAGGAGAUAAGGUUACCGGUAUGAGAGGUCAUGUGAGCAGUGGCACCCGAGUCCAUGUACCAGUCGCCGCCGCCCCCAUAGUUGCUCGGGGAGGGGGGCGCGAGUGCAGCGCUGCCAAAAGAGCAGGAUCUCACGGCGAAGGCGCCUGCUGUGGGGAGGCCCCGCCGUAGGGGGCCCUCCGUAGGAAGGCAUCAGAGCAGCAGGGUAGCCGCCAACCAUCAGCGGGGCGGGUAGAGCAGGACCACGCACGGCGAGGUAAGCUUGUUGAAGAGGCGGAGGGGGCCGAGGCACUAGCAUCUAAUAGGCAUGGAUGACUCCAGUCCACGGAUUUGUGUCGUAGGUCCAGGGCGGGGUAGGGUACUGCUGACGAGGCGCCCUCCGUACGCCGGUUGUUGCGGCUGUUGUUGCUUGUUCUGGCGUCCACCGCGGCAGUUGUUGCAUCGGCCGCCGCCACCGCCGAGCUGCUGUUGCGGCUGCCGCUGCACGGGCGGCGUGGGCGGCAAGGAGAAGAACCCCGGGGGCGCAGGAGGUGCCGGGGCCCGAGGCGCGUGAGGUGGCCCGUGAGAGGUGCCUGCGGCGAGGGCGGUGUGCUGGACCCGCCGCUUGACCUGCUUCAUCUGUCGUUCCUCCAAGCAAAGAUAGGCGACAAACUUGGGGAACGAGGGCUCCGUCAUCAAGGUGAGGUUGGAGGCGGCGUUGCCGAAGUCCUCGUCGAGGCCGGUCGUAAGCGUGCUGAGGAGAAGGUCAUCAUCGAUCUUGGCGCCAAUGUCGUGGAGUUCAUUGGACAACAUCUUGAGACGGAGGUAGUAAUCAUCAACGGGCUGAUCAUCUUGAUGACAGCUGAAGAAUUCUUGCUGCAGGAGGACGCGACGUUGAAGCUUGUUGUCGGUGAAGAGGCCAUUGAGUUUGACCCAUACGGCAUGCGCGUCAUCGCCCUCGCUGACGACGGUGUGAAAGUGAUCCUUGGAGAUGAUGAGGAAGAACCACCGAAUGAGCGUAGCAUCGAUGGAUGUCCACUCGAAAUCGUCCUUCAUGUCGCCAGAGUCGCCGGAGCCGUCGAUGUGAUCCGCGAUAUUGUACUCGCGAACGACGAGGGAGAAGUAGGUCUUCCACGCGAAAUACAUGGAGUCUUGGGGAUCGAGGAUGACGGGGACCCGACCAUGGAUGAAGGGGUUGGUGUUGCCGGAGAGGGAGGAGUUAACCGACAUGACGUCGGCGACGCGACAGGAGGGAAGGCGCGGUGCGGCGGCGGUGGUUGCGGGUGCGGCUACGUGCAUAUCGUAGCGGCAGGUGUUAGGGUUUAGUGGCGACGGCGGCGGCUUGUGGAGGGAGAGUAGGGUUAGGGCGCGACUGCGUGGAGAUGGAUGGCAGCAGCAGGGUAGGGGAGGCGACAGUGGCGACGCGAGGCGUCGGCUGGGUAGCAGCAGCGGCGGCGGUGGCGGCUAGGGCAACAGAAGAGGUAGGAUCCGCGUGCUAUCUGAUACCAUGUAAGUUAGGGAUUGCAUGCAUCGAUGAUUCUCAUUGAUGGUGCACCAAGCACAUAUAUAGGUACAAGGGGUGCAACUCAUGUCUCGUCUUUCAAGUUACAUACAGAUUACAAUGAGAGGGAGACGUGACAGGUGCAAUAUACAAACCAAGAUCUAUAGACGUGUACGCAGACUAUACAUGUUCAACAUAAACAUAGGCUAAAACGGAUCAAUUCAAUCAAAAUAGUGAGAAAACAAUAUCAAAACCAGGAUGAGACCAAAAAUCGACUGCUUAAAUGUCAAGAGUAAUAACAAAUGUGACUUCUUAACUACACAUAAGAAUGUUGCUUGUCAAGCAUGAAAGAUGUACACAACCGAACACCUGUCCUGGGAGCAAUAUGUAUAUACAGAAACGGCAGACUUUACACACAAGGCACACAGGGGAUAGGCUUGGACGGAUGAAAGAAACAAGGAAGCAAGCAACCACUGAUAAACACUUCAUUCACUCUUGCUCCAUUUGCGAAGAAGGAGCGUUUUUACUUUAGGCCCCAAAGCAUCCCAUGACUUUCUUGGGAGAGUUGCCGGUGGCGCGGUACUUGGCGGCCAUCUCCUCGGCCUUGAGGAGUUCCUCCCCUUUCUUUGCCUCGACCAUCGCUCUCUUCUCUUCGGCUUCCUUGUGGAUCAUUGCGGCCUUAUUCUUCAUCUUCUCGGCGUAUUCAGCCUUCUUCUUUUCCAAUUGCUCCUGAAAGUGUACAGUCACAAGAUUUAGUUUGCAGGAUGGCAUAUGAAGAGAGUGCCAUGUUCAGAACUGCAGAUGGAUAUCGACGGCAAGA